Bubalus bubalis (water buffalo) is the source of this 2683-nucleotide long non-coding RNA. RefSeq lists it as uncharacterized. NCBI's taxonomy places the organism in Eukaryota, Metazoa, Chordata, Mammalia, Artiodactyla, Bovidae. The transcript has 6 exons. The record is from RefSeq and is a predicted model, not a curated record.
UGAACUGAUCUGUGCUCUCAUGUACAAAAUAUAGUAGUAACUGAAGACUUCGAUUCUGGGUAUUGUCUUUUCUCUGCAAGCAACACCUGACAAAUUUGUGUCUGGUCGUGUAGGGAGAAUGUAAGUGGGCCCCCUAUCCCUAUUUUAAGAGGAGAAGGCUAGAGGCAGCAAAAUCAAAUAUUCUCACUUGUCUUGGUGUAAGUAGGCAUAGUUUUCCUACCUGGGAAGAAAGACUUUGCAACUGAGAUAAACAAGAAAAGUGAGGUUUUUCUUGGUGUUUAAAAAUGCGAGAUGAAAGAUUACAUGAGAAAAUUGCUGUUUCACUCCCAUGAGCAGGCUAUUAACUCAGUAACAUUGAUGCUUCUGGGAUAUUUUUUUAUCUCAAAUAACUUUUGUUCUUUUUAUUUUGUGAGCCAAUCCUUCUAGAGUCUGAAAAUUCCCUCACAGUCUUCUUUACAAGCAAAAGCCUUUCCUAAAAUCCCCUUGUUUUUGUUUUCCUUUGAUAAGUAAAGGGCUCGGAGACGCACAGGUGACUCGCCUUCUGCCCUGAGUUUGCCUCUUCAGAUGAACCUCAGUCGGCAAUUAGAGCUUUCACCCUGGCUGAACACUUUGCCUCUCUGGUUCUUUCUCUGAGCCUUGGUCAAUCCGGUUCUGAUUUUGAUUAGCGCAUAGCUGUUUCAUUUCUCAAUUGGUGGAAGCAAUGUGGAGAAGCUGAUUUUUCUGUGGUCUGACCUUCUGAUUCUCUCUCAAGCAGCCAUCUGCUUUUUUGUUUGCCUGUCUUGAGGCGUGUUAAGAAUCCUUACUGGCAUUUCAGAUCUAGGUUUACCCAGGCCAAUACCUGGUCUUGCCUUGAGAUUAAGAAGUUCACGUUGCCGCCUACACCCACUGAUGGUGUUUCUUCUGCCAGAGGUAGAAUCCUCCAUGUUGCUUUAUUUACACAGCGCUUAAAGAAGCUAAAAAAGGCAUUCAAGGAAAAAGGUUUUUGUGCCUGCUUGAAAGAUAGUGGCUCCCUUCCAUCCUUUGUGUUCUGACCACUCUCCUUCCAAAGCUGCUACGACAAAUUGGGGUGAAGCAAGAUAAUGUGUAGCUAUUUAUGAAGCCAGGAUCACUCUGCCAAUUUCUGAGAAGACAAAAGAGAUUUCUCUCUGGUGAAAUCACUUCAGUGACUAAGAAAGGCUUCCCCCACUGGCCUCAGCCAGGAUGAGGGCCCCGGGACACGCAUCAUUGUCGGCAGGGCUUUGCUUUGAGUGACGCAAGACCCAGGCAGCAACCUACCUCACCUCCUCUGAAGACACAGGACUUCCUGCCAGCUCCCAAAACACCCUUGAAGUGGUGGGCAUCGUGACUCACAGUCAGAUGAGGAAGGAGGAGAUGAGAGAACAUGUGGAAUGAAGGAUGGAGAAGUGAACCAACAAGAUGAAGGGAACUGAUAUUACGUAAGUAAAAGAAACCAGGAAGAUAUAUUUCCAUUGGGGUGUAUUGAGUUGGGAUAUAUUGGUUGGAGUGGAGGAGAUGUAAAGCAAGUGUGAAAACAGAAUUCUAGAUCAAGAAGCCACAAAAAUGAAGAUCUUUAUCUCAUUUCCUCAUACAUUGUUGACUUUGUUCAGAAGAUAGGGAGAAUUUUUUAUUUCCAAAAUGCAUGGACUCGAUUGGAGUGCAGUGGUUAGUCAGAUUAAUGGGUAUUGCGCAGCUGUCAUUUGGGUUACAGAAAAAUCUCCUACCAUUGCCUACAUUGAUAUCUUGACUUGUGUUUUAACCUUUGUUUUUGAAGAAGACAUCUAACAGGCUUAUUGUAAAUUUUAUACAUACAUCACUGCAGCCUUUUUCUUAAACAUUCUUGAAGUCAAAGCAUUAGGAAUUAGGAAGCAGUUUUCUUGUGAAAAGCUUAGCUAAUCAAUUCAUCCAUUUGAAUGGAAAAAAUAUUUGAGCAGCAAAUUAAUGGUGAGGAAUAACUAUAAGUCAGCUGCCCAAUUAGCACCAUGGCACAGUGCCUGACAUCUGGAUCUGUACCAAACAGCAUCAAUAUCAUCACACUUAAAAUUAGAAAUCAAUGAGCCAGAAAAAAACUGUUGUUGUGCAAGUCCCAUAAAAUUAAAUUGUUCUAAUAUAUUAAAAUAAGUUCUGCACGAUGAAGGAAAAGGAGAAGUUUUUUCUUGUGAGCUAGUAUUGUAAGGCUACAAAUGAACUUCCUGGAUUAAGUCUGGUUCUUUUCUGUCUUUCUCAAAGCUUUUUUUCUUUUACUCAUAUCUGUAUUUUCUCUUGGACAUAGUCAAUGUCAUCCGAUAGAAGUCAAAAGACACAGGUUUACUGGAAACAAAAUAUGAAUAAUUGGAUCUCUCAAGGUGUAUGUUGACUAUACUUGAGGAAGGUAAGUUGAGUACUUAUGUAGUAAAGAAAAAUCUCAACUUACAAAACUAUUAAAAAAAAAAAAGAAUUCAACUGCACUCUACAUAGGAAAAGAAGAAAAUAGUCUGUAAAAGAGAAACAUAGCAAUAUUAAUUUGAUUCUGAGGUUACCUAAAUCAAGGAAACCAUAUAUGUUGUAUAAGGAAUUUUCAUGUAAGCCGAAAGUUAACGAGUUCUAUACAAUUUAUUCCUUAUUCUGUUUUGUUUUUUAUAUUCAACUAAAAUCAAAAUUCUUCUUUUGAAGAAUAAUUACAUUUUAAUCUUUUUGAAUUUUUAAA